Molecule: ribosomal RNA, 683 nt
Filed under: uncultured bacterium
Lineage: Bacteria
Description: bacterial SSU rRNA
Rfam family: Bacterial small subunit ribosomal RNA
Source: RNAcentral
AUGACGACCGGCAAACGGGUGCGGAACACGUACGCAACCUUCCCAUAACUGGUGAAUAGCCUUCCGAAAGGGAGAUUAAUACACCGUAACAUAAUGAAGAGGCAUCUCUUUAUUAUUAUAGGCUUCGGCCGGUUUUGGAUGGGCGUGCGCCUGAUUAGGUAGUUGGCGGGGUAACGGCCCACCAAGCCUGCGAUCAGUAACUGGUGUGAGAGCACGACCAGUCACACGGGCACUGAGACACGGGCCCGACUCCUACGGGAGGCAGCAGUAAGGAAUAUUGGUCAAUGGACGCAAGUCUGAACCAGCCAUGCCGCGUGAAGGAUGAAGGCCUUCUGGGUUGUAAACUUCUUUUACCUGGGAAGAAACCUCAAUUUUCUAAUUGAGUUGACGGUACCAGAGGAAUAAGCACCGGCUAACUCCGUGCCAGCAGCCGCGGUAAUACGGAGGGUGCAAGCGUUAUCCGGAUUUACUGGGUUUAAAGGGUGUGUAGGCGGGCUUUUAAGUCAGUGGUGAAAUCUCCGGGCUCAACCCGGAAACUGCCAUUGAUACUAUUAGUCUUGAAUUUUGUUGAGGUAGGCGGAAUAAGUCAUGUAGCGGUGAAAUGCAUAGAUAUGACUUAGAACACCAAUUGCGAAGGCAGCUUGCUAAACAAACAUUGACGCUGAGGCACGAAAGCGUGGGGA